AACGAACGCUGGCGGCAGGCCUAACACAUGCAAGUCGAGCGGACCCUUCGGGGUUAGCGGCGGACGGGGGAGUAACGCGUGGGAAUAUGCCCUUCUCUACGGAAUAGUCCUGGGAAACUGGGGGUAAUACCGUAUACGCCCUGUGGGGGAAAGAUUUAUCGGGGAAGGAUUAGCCCGCGUUGGAUUAGGUAGUUGGUGGGGUAAUGGCCUACCAAGCCGACGAUCCAUAGCUGGUUUGAGAGGAUGAUCAGCCACACUGGGACUGAGACACGGCCCAGACUACUACGGGAGGCAGCAGUGGGGAAUCUUAGACAAUGGGGGCAACCCUGAUCUAGCCAUGCCGCGUGAGUGAUGAAGGCCUUAGGGUUGUAAAGCUCUUUCAGCUGGGAAGAUAAUGACGGUACCAGCAGAAGAAGCCCCGGCUAACUCCGUG
This 433-nucleotide ribosomal RNA is filed under the name uncultured bacterium. RNAcentral describes it as "partial 16S ribosomal RNA". It matches the Rfam family "Bacterial small subunit ribosomal RNA", at positions 29 to 507 of the family's 1533-position model. The record is from RNAcentral.